AACGAACGCUGGCGGCAUGCCUAACACAUGCAAGUCGAACGAGACCUUCGGGUCUAGUGGCGGACGGGUGAGUAACGCGUGGGAAUCUGCCCUUAGCUUCGGAAUAACUCCCCGAAACGGGUGCUAAUACCGGAUACUGUCUUCGGACCAAAGAUUUAUCGGCUUAGGAUGGGCCCGCGUUGGAUUAGCUAGUUGGUAGGGUAAUAGCCUACCAAGGCGACGAUCCAUAGCUGGUCUGAGAGGAUGAUCAGCACACUGGGACUGAGACACGGCCCAGACUCCUACGGGAGGCAGCAGUGGGGAAUAUUGGACAAUGGGCGAAAGCCUGAUCCAGCAAUGCCGCGUGAGUGAUGAAGGCCUUAGGGUUGUAAAGCUCUUUUACCCGGGAUGAUAAUGACAGUACCGGGAGAAUAAGCUCCGGCUAACUCCGUG
Molecule: ribosomal RNA, 432 nt
Filed under: uncultured bacterium
Lineage: Bacteria
Description: partial 16S ribosomal RNA
Rfam family: Bacterial small subunit ribosomal RNA
Source: RNAcentral